GAGGGUGUAGCUCAGUGGUAGAGUGUGUGCUUACAUGCAUGAGAUCCUGGGUUCAAUCCCCAAUAUCUACA
This 71-nucleotide transfer RNA is filed under the name Camelus bactrianus (Bactrian camel). It matches the Rfam family "tRNA". Rfam says of the family: Transfer RNA (tRNA) molecules are approximately 80 nucleotides in length. Their secondary structure includes four short double-helical elements and three loops (D, anti-codon, and T loops). Further hydrogen bonds mediate the characteristic L-shaped molecular structure. tRNAs have two regions of fundamental functional importance: the anti-codon, which is responsible for specific mRNA codon recognition, and the 3' end, to which the tRNAs corresponding amino acid is attached (by aminoacyl-tRNA synthetases). tRNAs cope with the degeneracy of the genetic code in two manners: having more than one tRNA (with a specific anti-codon) for a particular amino acid; and 'wobble' base-pairing, i.e. permitting non-standard base-pairing at the 3rd anti-codon position. RNAcentral also lists the same sequence under 2 other names. Lineage: Eukaryota; Metazoa; Chordata; Mammalia; Artiodactyla; Camelidae. The record is from Rfam by way of RNAcentral.